This 398-nucleotide ribosomal RNA is filed under the name uncultured eukaryote. Its description in RNAcentral is "SSU rRNA". It matches the Rfam family "Eukaryotic small subunit ribosomal RNA", at positions 587 to 972 of the family's 1831-position model. The record is from RNAcentral.
AGCUCCAAUAGCGUAUAUUAAAGUUGUUGCAGUUAAAAAGCUCGUAGUUGAAUUUCGAGGGUGAUUUGGCCGGGCCUACUUGGCUUGUCUGAGUAGGCAUUCUGGAUCCAAGGGCCCUGUACCACUUUCUGGGGAGCUAGUCUACUCUUUAUUGAGUUGGGCUAGGGAGCCAGGACUUUUACCUUGAAAAAAUCAGAGUGUUCAAAGCAGGCAUAUUUGCUCGAAUACAUUAGCAUGGAAUAAUAGAAUAGGACCAUGGUUCUAUUUUGUUGGUUUAUAGGACCAAGGUAAUGAUUAAUAGGGACAGUUGGGGGCAUUUGUAUCGGAUCGUUAGGGGUGAAAUCCUUGGAUCGGUCCGAGACAAACUAAUGCGAAAGCAUUUGCCAAGGAUGUUUUCA